CCUCUGCCAUGUGAGACACCUGCUCUCACUUAGCCUGCUGUCAUAAGCAAAAGCUUUCUGAGUCCUCACCAGAAGUGAGUAGACGCCAGUGGGAUGCUUCCUGUGCAGCCUGCAGAACUGAGAAUACGUGUGGAUCAUGGACUAGAAUAAUGACAAUGGGAAUGGGGAAAACUAGUUGGAUCAAAGAAAUAUUUUGGAGAAAACUACCUUGGACUACGAGGGUGUGGGGUGAGCCAGCCAUUACCCCCACCCUGAAGCCUGUCCCCCUUUUCUUCUCCAUGGACUACAAGGGGUCUUGAGGGCAUGCAGGUGAACACCCAGAUCACAAGUCCAAGCAGAUACCCACCUGCUGCAAACAGCUACCUAUUGGCCACCUUUUGGGCCUAGGGGUAUGCAUAUCUACAGCGACAUCCACUUUCAGAAGGACAGACACUUUGAAGAAACCUAUGUAGGCCCUGGAGGCAGGAUUUGGACCAUUUGGGCAAGAAAUCCAGGGUUCCAGAAAGGAAAAAGAAGAUCUGAUAGGGUUAAGUGACUUCUCCAGGGCUCCACAGUGGCAAGUGGCAAAGGCGGGGUUAGGAGACCAGACUUCUGACUUUACGGGGCUAUGCCUGUGUUUCAUGCUGCUUCCCCCUAGUCUGAUAUUGUAAAGGAGUCACCAAAUCUAUGUCUCCAGCUGAGAUGAGAAGAAAUUGGAUUUCCUGAGAAUCAUGAUAGCUGCCUCUUACUAAACCCUGGCUAUGCUCAGGCACCAUUCCAAGAACUUUAAGUAUAUGAUCUCUAACAAUAACAACCUGGCAAUGUAAGUAUUGUUAUUCUCUUCUUACAUAUGUGACAAUGACAAUUCAGAGUUGUUAGGUAACUAUUCCAAUUAUAAACUUCAAUAAAUGUCAAUAUGUGUGUGUGUGUACACAUAUAUGUAUACACAUACAUAUAUACACAUAUAUGCACACACAUACAUAUAUACAUAUAUGCACACACAUACAUAUAUACAUAUAUGCACACACAUACAUAUAUACACAUAUAUGUGCACACACAUACAUAUAUACACAUAUAUGUGUACACACAUACAUAUAUACACAUAUAUGUGUACACACAUGCAUAUAUACACACAUAUAUGUGUACACACAUGCAUAUAUACACACAUAUAUGUGUACACACAUGCAUAUAUACACACAUAUAUGUGUACACACAUGCAUAUAUACACACAUAUAUGUGUACACACAUGCACAUAUAUACACAUAUAUGUGUACACACAUGCCCAUAUAUACACAUAUAUGUGUACACACAUGCAUAUAUAUACACAUAUAUGUGUACACACAUGCAUAUAUAUACACAUAUAUGUGUGCACACAUGCAUAUAUAUACACAUAUAUGUGUGCACACAUACAUAUAUUUAUAUAUUCCUGCCUAUGUUCAUGUAAAAUUGUGACAAGAUUCCACCAAAUUGCCCUUCAAAAAGGAUUGCACAAAAUCGAUUGUGACUUUUCCC
Molecule: long non-coding RNA, 1491 nt
Filed under: Homo sapiens (human)
Lineage: Eukaryota; Metazoa; Chordata; Mammalia; Primates; Hominidae
Description: HSALNT0016676
Source: RNAcentral